This 414-nucleotide ribosomal RNA is filed under the name Ligilactobacillus salivarius. RNAcentral describes it as "bacterial SSU rRNA". It matches the Rfam family "Bacterial small subunit ribosomal RNA", at positions 379 to 786 of the family's 1533-position model. Lineage: Bacteria; Bacillati; Bacillota; Bacilli; Lactobacillales; Lactobacillaceae. The record is from RNAcentral.
CAGUCUGAUGGAGCACGCCGCGUGAGUGAAGAAGGUCUUCGGAUCGUAAAACUCUGUUGUUAGAGAAGAACACGAGUGAGAGUAACUGUUCAUUCGAUGACGGUAUCUAACCAGCAAGUCACGGCUAACUACGUGCCAGCAGCCGCGGUAAUACGUAGGUGGCAAGCGUUGUCCGGAUUUAUUGGGCGUAAAGGGAACGCAGGCGGUCUUUUAAGUCUGAUGUGAAAGCCUUCGGCUUAACCGGAGUAGUGCAUUGGAAACUGGAAGACUUGAGUGCAGAAGAGGAGAGUGGAACUCCAUGUGUAGCGGUGAAAUGCGUAGAUAUAUGGAAGAACACCAGUGGCGAAAGCGGCUCUCUGGUCUGUAACUGACGCUGAGGUUCGAAAGCGUGGGUAGCAAACAGGAUUAGAUACC